GGCAAGAACGGGCGCCGGAGGGUACCAGCCCAGAAGGCUGGUGUUGGGACCCCGAGGCUCCCUGCCCUUGAGCCCCCAAAUCCGUCUUCUCCCUGCAUCAGCCUGGGCUGUGUGACCUUGGGCAGGGGCUUUGCCUCUCUGGACCUUAGAGCCCCCCUGAAAGGUGCUGAGCUCAGUGUGGGUGGAUGCGCCGAGGGCAUGCAGAGUCCUCCUGCCGCCUCUGUGGAUGAGAAAUAGGGCCUGUGGUCCACGGCUGCUGUGACAAUGAAGAGAGAACUGUGGAAACUGUGAAGUGCGAUGGACAAAGGGUUGUGUGUCUUAAAUGGUCAUUCGCAGAACUUAAGGCUUUUGAGGCGAGUCCCCAGGAAGACACAGCCACAGCCGCGUGGACCCCACACGUGGGGGAGGGCUGUUCCGGGGCGGCAGGUCCCACUGGAACCAGGCUGAAGCCUAGGGAGUCCUGGAAAGGCUUGGGCAUCCACGGGGCCCCGCUGCAGGUUAACUCCAGGAACCCCCAAGCCCCAGGUCCCUUCGCGGGCCCCCCCCCUCCACCCAUCCUGUGGUCCAGGAGGAACCUGCCCAGAGCAGCGGGAGACGGGGCCCGGGAAGGAGGCCGGGGUCGGUGUUCCAACCGGGGGAAUCGGUUCCCUUCGCUGCAGGCAGCGGGGAGGGUGCGGGGAGCGGAGAGCGGGGGAGGCGGAGAGGGGGGCCGGGAAGAGGGCGAGGGGAGCGGGCGGCCGGGAAGGAGAGGCACACGCGGAGAGGGAUUGAACCUUGAGAGAAGCCGCCCAAGGAAAGGAACAGAGUACCCACAAAACCCCACACUGGGACAAAGAGAAGGACGCCCGGAUUCUCCCUGCCAGCUCCUCCCACCCGCUUCCAGUCCACCAGCCCUUCUCCUGCUCUGAGCACCUGGACGCCCGCUCUGGACAUUGUCUCCCCACCCCCACCUUGGACCACGCUGGACCCCAAGGGCGACGGCCGCCUGCAGCUGGGUACCCUUGCAUGCAAAACGAGGGGCUGGGGUGUCACCCCCAAGAGGGACAGAAUGAAGGAGGAGGAUCAGAGAGACCUGGAAGUGAAUCCUGAGAGCGU
This 1095-nucleotide long non-coding RNA is filed under the name Sus scrofa (pig). RNAcentral describes it as "lncRNA (ENSSSCG00070009755.1)". The record is from RNAcentral. Lineage: Eukaryota; Metazoa; Chordata; Mammalia; Artiodactyla; Suidae.